CGAAAGCCUGACGGAGCAACGCCGCGUGAGGGAUGAAGGCCUUUGGGCUGUAAACCUCUUUUCUCAAGGAAGAAGAUCUGACGGUACUUGAGGAAUAAGCCACGGCUAAUUCCGUGCCAGCAGCCGCGGUAAUACGGGAGUGGCAAGCGCUAUCCGGAAUUAUUGGGCGUAAAGCGUCCGCAGGCGGCCGUUUAAGUCUGUUGUUAAAUCGUGGAGCUCAACUCCAUCACGGCAAUGGAAACUGUUCGGCUUGAGUGUGGUAGGGGCAGAGGGAAUUUCCGGUGUAGCGGUGAAAUGCGUAGAUAUCGGGAAGAACACCAGUGGCGAAAGCGCUCUGCUAGGCCAUUACUGACGCUCAUGGACGAAAGCCAGGGGAGCGAAAGGGAUUAGAUACCCCUGUAGUCCUGGCCGUAAACGAUGAACACUAGAUGUUGGGGGAAUCGACCCCCUCGGUGUCGUAGCUAACGCGUUAAGUGUUCCGCCUGGGGAGUACGCACGCAAGUGUGAAACUCAAAGGAAUUGACGGGGGCCCGCACAAGCGGUGGAGUAUGUGGUUUAAUUCGAUGCAACGCGAAGAACCUUACCAAGGCUUGACAUCCUGCGAAUCUCCAAGAAAUUGGAGAGUGCCUUCGGGAACGCAGUGACAGGUGGUGCAUGGCUGUCGUCAGCUCGUGUCGUGAGAUGUUGGGUUAAGUCCCGCAACGAGCGCAACCCACGUUUUUAGUUGCCAGCAUUCAGUUGGGCACUCUAGAAAGACUGCCGGUGACAAACCGGAGGAAGGUGUGGACGACGUCAAGUCAUCAUGCCCCUUACGCCUUGGGCUACACACGUACUACAAUGCUGCGGACAAAGAGUAGCGAUCUUGCAAAAGUUAGCUAAUCUCGUAAACCGUGGCUCAGUUCAGAUCGUAGGCUGCAACUCGCCUACGUGAAGUAGGAAUCGCUAGUAAUCGCAGGUCAGCAUACUGCGGUGAAUACGUUCCCGGGCCUUGUACACACCGCCCGUCACACCAUGGAAGUUGGCCAUGCCCGAAGUCGUUACUCUAACCUUUUGGAAGAGGGCGCCGAAGGCAGGGCUAAUGACUGGGGUGAAGUCGUAACAAGGUAGCCGUAGCGGAAGCUGCGGCUGGAUCACCUCCUA
This 1140-nucleotide ribosomal RNA is filed under the name Candidatus Synechococcus spongiarum. Its description in RNAcentral is "bacterial SSU rRNA". It matches the Rfam family "Bacterial small subunit ribosomal RNA", at positions 376 to 1532 of the family's 1533-position model. The record is from RNAcentral. Lineage: Bacteria; Bacillati; Cyanobacteriota; Cyanophyceae; Synechococcales; Synechococcaceae.